UCAUUUUAUACAAAGUUUGACACUAAUUUAUAUAGAUAAUUGUAAACAUAACUUAUUUAUGAGUAAAUUUUCAUAAAUGUUUCUUUUGGGCAUUCAAUACAACAGAUACAUGUGCAGAGUUGUUUGGAGCUUAACAAUCACGGCUGGGGACCACAAGUUUUACUUCUUUUGGAAUCCAGAAAGAGACGGUUUCCAAAGCACCACUUACCGAAUCCUCGAAUCAGUUCAGUAAAUACUCCCGGAUCACUUUCUAUUAAACACCAAUCUCCGGCAGUACCUGACAUUGUUACAAAUUAAGAUUUGAAAAUUUCGACGGAAGUAACAAGUAACCGGAAGUAGUAUUUUUUUUUUUUUCUGCUAACGUACGAAAACUUAAAAUGUAAUAAUUGUGUAAAAAUUAAAAUAAAAAAACAUGCGUGUCGAA
Octopus sinensis (East Asian common octopus) is the source of this 424-nucleotide long non-coding RNA. RefSeq lists it as uncharacterized. Lineage: Eukaryota; Metazoa; Mollusca; Cephalopoda; Octopoda; Octopodidae. The record is from RefSeq and is a predicted model, not a curated record. The transcript has 2 exons.